ACUCCUACGGGAGGCAGCAGUGGGAAUAUUGCACAAUGGGCGAAAGCCUGAUGCAGCAAUGCCGCGUGUGUGAAGAAGGCCUGCGGGUUGUAAAGCACUUUUAUCGGGAAAGAAAAACCAAGGCUAAUACCCUUGGUCUUGACGGUACCCGUUGAAUAAGCACCGGCUAACUCCGUGCCAGCAGCCGCGGUAAUACGGAGGGUGCAAGCGUUAAUCGGAAUUACUGGGCGUAAAGCGAGUGUAGGCGGCGACGUAAGUCGGAUGUGAAAGCCCCGGGCUCAACCUGGGAAUGGCAUUCGAUACUGCGUGGCUCGAGUCUGACAGAGGGGAUGUGGAAAUUCCGGGUGUAGCGGUGAAAUGCGUAGAUAUCCGGAGGAACACCAGUGGCGAAGGCGGCAUCCUGGGUCAAGACUGACGCUGAGGCUCGAAAGCGUGGGGAGCAAACAGGAUUAGAUACCCCGGUAGGCUCUGCU
RNAcentral lists this ribosomal RNA (473 nucleotides) under uncultured bacterium. Its description in RNAcentral is "bacterial SSU rRNA". It matches the Rfam family "Bacterial small subunit ribosomal RNA", at positions 335 to 801 of the family's 1533-position model. The record is from RNAcentral.